This 508-nucleotide ribosomal RNA is filed under the name uncultured bacterium. RNAcentral's name for it is "partial 16S ribosomal RNA". It matches the Rfam family "Bacterial small subunit ribosomal RNA", at positions 28 to 507 of the family's 1533-position model. The record is from RNAcentral.
GACGAACGCUGGCGGCGUGCCUAAUACAUGCAAGUCGAACGCUUCUUUCCUCCCGAGUGCUUGCACUCAAUUGGGAAGAGGAGUGGCGGACGGGUGAGUAACACGUGUGUAACCUACCCAUCAGAGGGGGAUAACACUUGGAAACAGGUGCUAAUACCGCAUAAGAGUUUAUGCCGCAUGGCAUAAGAGUGAAAGGCGCUUUCGGGUGUCGCUGAUGGUUGGACACGCGGUGCAUUAGCUAGUUGGUGAGGUAACGGCCCACCAAGGGCACGAUGCAUAGCCGGCCUGAGAGGGUGAUCAGCCACACUGGGACUGAGACACGGCCCAGACUCCUACGGGAGGCAGCAGUAGGGAAUCUUCGGCAAUGGACGAAAGUCUGACCGAGCAACGCCGCGUGAGUGAAGAAGGUUUUCGGAUCGUAAAACUCUGUUGUUAGAGAAGAACAAGGACGUUAGUAACUGAACGUCCCCUGACGGUAUCUAACCAGAAAGCCACGGCUAACUACGUG